Molecule: ribosomal RNA, 476 nt
Filed under: uncultured bacterium
Lineage: Bacteria
Description: bacterial SSU rRNA
Rfam family: Bacterial small subunit ribosomal RNA
Source: RNAcentral
GUAAAGUUCUUUUAGUAGGAAGAUAAUGACGGUACCUACAGAAAAAAGCCCCCGGCUAACUCCGUGCCAGCAGCCGCGGUAAGGACGGAGGGGGCUAGCGUUGUUCGGAAUUACUGGGCGUAAAGGGCGCGUAGGCGGAUUAGUAAGUUGGAAGUGAAAUCCCCGAGGCUUAACCUCGGGAAUGGCUUUCAAAACUGCUGAUCUAGAGUAAAGUAGGGGGUGAUGGAAUUCCUAGUGUAGAGGUGAAAUUCUUAGAUAUUAGGAGGAACACCGGUGGCGAAGGCGGUCACCUGGACUUCAACUGACGCUAAGGCGCGAAAGCGUGGGGAGCAAACAGGAUUAGAUACCCUGGUAGUCCACGCCGUAAACGAUGAGUGCUAGAUAUCGGAAAUUUAUUUUUCGGUUUCGCAGCUAACGCAUUAAGCACUCCGCCUGGGGACUACGAUCGCAAGAUUAAAACUCAAAAGGAAUUGACG